GGAAAAUAGGAGUAAAAUGGGUUUCCAUAAAGUGAAAACUUCCAAUGCAUUUCAACAAUAUUGUCAGAUGGUCAGGAAUGGAUUACAGCUGACACGGUCAGUUCUGCUGCCUGUCAACCGUCAAACAAGUGGUAUUGGCUACUUACAAAACCUGGUGGAUUUGUUGAUCAGCAGUGUUGCGGGAACCCCCCCCUACCAUCAGUAGCGGUGAGUGGGUAAAAUCACUGGGGAAGCCAAGCCAGGUAAAAAAAAGCCAUUUAACCUAUGUGUUGUGAUAAUUGGGUUGUUGGCUCUAUAACGUGUUUGUUCAUAUGCCUUGCCAACGUGAUAUAUAGGCCUAAAGACGAGACAAUAAGAAGACACAGUGGCAGAAUAAAUUCAACCACACCUUUGUUUCAUCACAAAACCGGAGAGCAAAAUCUGCCCAGUGAAGUCCACAAAGCAUUUUGCAUGUAACAAACAGUUGCAUGACCUUCAGCAUAGUCAAGCAAGUUAAUGUUUCCGACAUAUUCGACUACUAAACAACCAUUGAUUUAAAAAAAGUUCUGAAUCCACUAUUCCAACAUAGAAUGCCAAUCAUUUCAACUUCAAUAUUUCAACGUCAUCAAAUCACCUAUGCUUAGUUUAAUAAAGUGACAACUAAAAGAUACCAAAAACAACCAAUCAACGUAAGCUAAAUAUGAUGUGGCUGUCCAUGGUACUGAUUUGUGUGUGCGUGUCUGUCUGCAUGCGUGCAAGUAGAAAAAACAUGUUGACUCUCCCUACUUGUAGAGAAACGCCAAUGACAUCCUCCUCGCUUUCAUAUUGCCGAAACGGUCUAUGACUCUGUCAUACAGUACAAGCUUUUCGUUUUUAUUGUCCUAGGCUACCUAGCUAAAAUGCUUGCACACUAGCCUAACUUCCUUUCAUGGGCAACAAUGCGCCAGGCCAGCUAGUUAACAUUAGCCUACUAUAUCUAGCUACAUAUUGAACUUCCAUCCUCUCAAGUCAGAGGCACAAUGUAUGAAUUUAUGGUCGGAUCAGAAUCACCAUUAUAAUUACUGGCCAGUACGGAGAAUUAAGUAAAACCAGUCCAAAUCCCUAUUUCCAUCCAUGGCUAAUUUAGGAAAGGGACAAUUUAAGUUAGCUAACUAGCCACCGGAGGACAACGACACAAUGAGAUGCAACAGUUCAAGUUUUUUUCUGUAAAUUACGUUCUUAUUUUGAUGUGAACAGUGUGAAGCCAAAUCCAAACUGGCUUCUCUUAACACUUUUUUUUGGUGCACCAGGACCAUUCACAGUUGAGCUCGCUCAGUUUAGCUCAAUGCUGAUUUGCUAUUAUUUUAUUUAUUUAUGUUUAUCAAGGGAGGCCAAAUGCUCGCUGGCUUCCAUUGUAUUCAAUGCUUUGGGCGGCAACAAUGUCAUAUUAUUUUUGGCCAGACAGCGUCAGUUAAAUGGUCUACACAUGCUGAGAAAGAGGGGCGCUGUUUCACUCGCUCGGAUGCUUUCUCUGGUGAGAUACUUUUGUAUAUAUAGUUUAUGUGGACAUCCAUUCAAAUUAGUGGAUUUGGCUAUUUCAGCCACACCCGUUGCUAACAGGUGUAUGAAAUCGAGGACACAGCCAUGCAAUCUCCAUAGACAAACAGUGGCAGUAGAAUGGCCUUACUGAGGAGCUUAGUGACUUUCAACAAAGAAUGCCAACAAUUCAGUUCAUAACAUUUCAGCACUGCUAGAGCUGCUCCAGUCAACUGUUAGUUGUGUUAUUGUGAAUUGGAAACGUCUAGAAGCAACAAAAUCUCAGCCGCAAAGUGGUAGGCCACACAAGCUCACAAUAUGGGACUGCCGAGUGCUGGAGCAUAUGGCACGUAAAAAUCAUCUGUCCUUGGUUGCAACACUCACUACCAAAUUCUGAAGUGCCUCUCGAAGCAAUGUCAGCACAAGAACUGUUCGUCGGGAGCUUCAUGAUAUGGGUUUCCAUAGCCAAUUAGCUGCACACAAGCCUAAGAUCUGCAUGCACAUGCCAAGUGUCAGCUGGAGUGGUGUAAAGCUUGCCGCCAUUAGAGCGUCCUCUGGAGUGAUGAAUCCCGCUUCACCACCUGGCCGUCUGACAGCCAAAUCUGGGUUUGGCGGAUGCCAGGAGAAUGCUACCUGCCCGAAUAAAUAGUGCCAACUGUAAAGUUUGGUGGAGGAGGAAUAAUAGUCUUGGGCUGUUUCAUGGUUCGGGCAAGGCCUCUUAGUUCCAGUGAAGGGACAUCUUAACACUAUAGCAUACAAUGACAUUCUAGACAAUUCUGUACUUCCAACUUUAUGCAAACAGUUUGUGGAAGGCCCUUUUCUGUUUCAGCAUGACAAUGCCCCCGUGCACAAAGCGAGGUCCAUACAGAAAUGGUUUGUCAAUAUCGUUGUGGAAGAACUUGACUGGCCUGCACAGAGCCCUGACCUCAACCCCAUCGGACACCUUUGGGAUGAAUUGGAACUCUGGCCUAAUCGCCCAACAUCAGUGCCCGACCUCACUAAUUCUCAUGGCUGAAUGGAAGCAAGUCCCUGCAGCAAUGUUCCAACAUCUAGUGGAAAGCCUUCCCAGAAGAUUGAAGGCUGUUAGAGCAUCAAAGGGGGGACCAACUCCAUAUUAAUGCCCAUGAUUUUGGAAUGAGAUGUUUGACGAGCAGGUGUCCACAUACUUUUGGUCAUGUAGUGUACGUUCAGGCUCUUGCGAAUUGAAGGAAAAUUAUGAAACAGAGAGAGACGAAAGAUACAUGAAUCUUUUUUUAUUGAUAACAUUUUUGGAGAAGCCUGGCUUCCCUUGGCAUCCAUGAGUAUAUGCCACUGACUACCAUAUCAGGUGCUGUUACAGAAGGCUGAGGCCAGACCCCAGUUCUGCUUCAGAGUAAUGGAAGACACUUGAAUCAGCUUGCUCACAUUUGAUCUGCUCAACGGUCAAACUACUUUAUGUCCUGGAAUUCACCUAAGCACCAUUAAUAAUGUAAUCUGUGAUGUGUGUCUUGUAUGUUGUAAGGAGGUGCCCCCUUCUACUGUGCCAAUGGACUACUCAUGGGCCCAAUAGAGUAGUGUCAACCAGUCAGUACUCUGCUGGCACGUAUCCCUUGUGAAUUAGCUGUAAAUCAGGAUCUCUGAUUGGCUGUUCAACCGUGUAUUUAUUGUUGGCUUCCAUGACUGUAUGGUAACAGUCCUUCUCUGUCCUCCUCUGUGGUAUGGGAGCUGGGUCCAAUAUAGGAGCUUAUCUAUGCUGCAAUGCAAUCAGGCAUUGGUAAACACCUCAGAAGGGACAAAAGGUGAUUACUAAUAAGACACCACAUUACAAGUGUUUAUUAAUAUCACCCUUUCAAUAUAUGUCACACAUCAACUCUUCCUAAUAAGUUCAGGAAUUGCAAUCAAUAGCAAUAUUGAUUGCAAUCAAUAGCAAUAUUACUCUGUAGGCUACUGACUCCUGGAGGAACCUUUGCAUUUGUCAGUAGCCUACAGAGUGGUAUGAUAAGAGUGCCAUCCAACAGCAUCUCACAUCUGCCUGUAGUUAUUGAACUGUGCCUGCUGGACCCAUGAGGCAUACUCUGUCAUAUCCAGGAUGAAGUGUCAUGCACUCCACCCUUCAUGCAACCUGACUGAACCUCUCCAUAACCUGUAAACCAUUACAUAGAUGGAAGGGACUUCAUCACCCACUGGAAACUUGAAGACAGAACCUCACCCAGAGGGCUGUGCAUGUCAAUGUGUGGUUAGACAGCCAAAUCCUUAGAUUUGGCCAAAUAGACAAAUAGAAUGCAUUCUAGUUCUGGUUAGACAGCUGAAGUUAUACUCUACAGACAACUUAUUUUUAUUUACUAGGUAAGUGUAGGCAUGCUGUCUUGAUAAGCACAUCAAUAUGAUAUUUACAGCAAAAAAAUUGGUCUUUGUAACACAAACACAGUCACCAAUUUUUGUUGUUGAUGUAUCUACGCUCAAGCUGGGCAUUGUUUGUGCAAUGUCCACAUGUAGCCUAUACCUGUUGUAGGGAUAUUAUUAGUUUUACCUUUUAUUUAACUAGGCAAGUCAGAUAACAACAAAUUCUUAUACAAUGACGGCCUACCCCAGUUAAACCCGGACGACGCUGGGCCAACUGUUCAGUGCCCUAUGGGACUCCCAAUCACAGCUGGAUGUGAUACAGCCUGGAUUUGAACCAGGGACUGUAGUGACACCUCUUGCACUGAAAUUCAGUGCAUAAGACCACUGCGCCACUCAGGAGCAAGUUCUGGGGUUUGUCUCCAGAAAAGCUCUAACAGCGAACAUAAGGAGAGACGAGACUGGAAAGUUAUAGAAUAUUGUGUUUUAGGACAGCUGAGGGUGACUCAAGACCAGGCAUUCAAUUCACAGUUGAUACAAUUUCCAUGGUAACAUGUAUUUACAUAAUGAAACUUUGAAACUGAGUUGCAAGCUAUUUUCGUAGCAAGAUUUUUUUCAACUAACUAGACAAGUCAGUUAAGAACAAAUUCUUAUUUACAAUGACAGCCUACCAGGGAACAGUGGGUUAACUGCCUUGUUCAAGGGCAGAAUGACAUAUUUUUACCCCCAAGGUGUUGUAGAAGUGUCUUAUGAAACACAUUCCAGACACUGGCUCUUGCUAUCUUAGCAUAAAUUAUUUGACAGAGAAAUAUAUUUAUGUUGUUCAUAUAUAUAUACUGUACAUACUCCGGACUCUGACAUUGCUCGUCCUAAUAUUUAUAUACAGUAUUUCUUUAUUCCUUUCUUUUACAUUAAGAUUUGUGUGUAUUGUUGUGAAUUGUUAGAUAUUUCUGCACCCUCAAUCCCAUCUGCUAAAUAUGUGUAGGCGACCAAUUUGAUUUGUUAAAAUACAGUGCAUUCGGAAAGUAUUCAGACUCCUUCACUUUCUCCACAUUUUGUUGUGUUACAGCCUUAUUCUAAAAUGUAUUGAAUAGUUUUUUCCCAUCAUCAAUCUACACACAAUACCCCAUAAUGACAAAAUAAAAACAGGUUUGUAGAAUGUUUUGCAAAUGUAAAAAAAAAAAAAAAAAACCCCGAUAUAUCACAUUUACACAGCGGUGGAAAAGUACCAAUUGUCAUACUUGAGUAAAAGUAUAGAUACCUUGUAAUAGAAAGUUACUAGAGUAAAAGUGAAAGUCAGCUAGUAAAAUACUACUUGAGUAAAAGUCUAAAAGUAUUUGGUUUUAAAUAUACUUAAGUAUCAAAAGAAAAAGGAUACAUCUUUUAAAAUUUCUUAUAUUAAUCAAAUCAAAUGUAUUUGUCACAUGUACCGAAUAAAACAGGUGCAGACCUUACCGUGCUUACUUACAAACCCUUAACCAACAAUGCAGUUAAGAAAAUAUUUACUAAAGUAACACAAUAAAAUAAAAAUAACGAGGCUACAGUAUAUACAGGGGCUACAGAUACCGAGUCAAUGUGCUGGGGAACAGGUUAGUCGAGGUAAUUGAGGUAAUACACCUUAGCCAAAUACAUUUAAACUCAGUUUGUCACAAUUCGUGACAUUUAAUCGUAGUAAAAAUCCCCUGUCUAAAGUCAGUUAGGAUCACCACUUUAUUUUGAGAAUGUGAAAUGACAGAAUAAUAGUAGUGAGAAUGAUUUAUUUCAGCUUUUAUUUCUUUCAUCACAUUCCCAGUGGGUCAGAAGUUUACAUACACUCAAUUAGUAUUUGGUAGCAUUGCCUUUAAAUUGUUUAACUUGGGUCAAACGUUGUUCCCGAGAAGCAGUAUAUCGUUCGCGUCGGGCUCGUCAGACUCGUUAAAGGAAAAAAAGGAUUCUGCCAGUCCGUUGUGAGUAAUCGCAGUCCUGAUGUCCAGAAGUUAUUUUCGGUCAUAAGAGAUGGUAGCGGCAACAUUAUGUACAAAAUAAGUAAAAAAACAAGUUACAAAAUACGCAAAUAAACUAACAAAAAAACACAAUCGGUUGGGGACACGUAAAAUGUCUGCCUUCUUCUCCGGUGCCAUAUGAUGGAGAGAGACACCAGAAUAACAGAACAGGCCGUAACAGAAGACGAUAGACAAAGAAGAUAGUAACAAACAAGAGCCUGAGACAGCAACAGGCAAGACACAGAGAAAGUGACAGAAUAGGGCAGAUGGAGAGAACAGAGGUUGGUUGAGCACACGGUAGACUGUAACACUUCAAGCUGCUCUAUAGAUUCUAAUUUAUUUAUUUGCACAUAUUAUUACAGGUGAAAUACAGACAUAUUAUUACAGGUGAAAUACAGACAUCGAAAAAGUAAAACAUGGUUUACAAAUAAUUUGCAGGUGAGGUGAAAAAGCCAGUGAAAUUGCUAUAAAAACUAUUGUUCACUUUUACACUUUUUACAACCGGCACAGGAUGAGGGUAGACAAGAGACAGCAAUAUAGAAUACUAAGAUACAGCAACAGAAGAGGACAGACAAAAGAGACAGCAUCAGACGACAGAGAAUGCAAUGGAGAGGAGGGGUGAGCACAUAGUCUACUAUCACUUAAAGCGCCGGGCCAUGCAAAACGAACUCGCCCAAUGUUGCAAAUGAUAGGGAAUAAACAAUCACGAUGAGGCAUCGCCAGCUGUGAACUCUGUAGCGCGCUUCAGACAACCACAGUGAAUGUAACUGUACAUCAAAUGUUGCAAUGUUAAAACGUUUGAUAUAAUUUUUUCCUACACGAUCACUUUGCUUACUCUUAAUUAUUGUCUACUAUGUUGGCAUGCAUAACCUUUUUAUUUUAUCAACACACUCGUCACUCCCAUUUAACAACUUAAAUCGCUUUGGCACAGUAAGCAUCCAGUCACUCAUUGAUAAUGUUGCAUUGCAUACAAUGUUGCAUACAAUGUUUUGAAAGGUCUAUCAUUUUCAUCGAAUACAAUCAAAGUUAACAUAAGCCCUAGAUGCAUUAAAUUGCCAAAUGUAUAGACAUGCCCAAUUUAGGCAUAUUUUCUUAUCAACGUGAUGUUGCGC
This 6907-nucleotide long non-coding RNA is filed under the name Salmo salar (Atlantic salmon). RNAcentral describes it as "lncRNA (ENSSSAG00000112424.1)". The record is from RNAcentral. Lineage: Eukaryota; Metazoa; Chordata; Actinopteri; Salmoniformes; Salmonidae.